CCUACGGGUGGCAGCAGUAGGGAAUAUUGCUCAAUGGGGGAAACCCUGAAGCAGCAACGCCGCGUGGAGGAAGAAGGUUUUCGGAUCGUAAACUCCUUUUGUUAGAGAAGAUUAUGACGGUAUCUGACUAAUAAGCACCGGCUAACUCCGUGCCAGCAGCCGCGGUAAUACGGAGGAGGCGAGCGUUAUCCGGAUUUAUUGGGUGUAAAGGGUGCGUAGGCGGCAGGAUAAGUCAGAGGUAAAAUGUCGGUGCUAAACACGGGCCUGCUGUUGAAACUGGUCUGCUUGAGUGAGGGAGAGGGAUGCGGAAUGCCUGGUGUAGCGGUGAAAUGCAUAGAUAUUAGGCAGAACACCGGUGGCGAAGGCAGCAUACUGG
Molecule: ribosomal RNA, 376 nt
Filed under: uncultured bacterium
Lineage: Bacteria
Description: partial 16S ribosomal RNA
Rfam family: Bacterial small subunit ribosomal RNA
Source: RNAcentral